CAGUAGCCACGGUAAAACGAAGGGUGCAAGCGUUAAUCGGAAUUACUGGGCGUAAAGCGUGCGUAGGCGGUUUGUUAAGUCUGUUGUGAAAUCCCCGGGCUCAACCUGGGAAUGGCAAUGGAUACUGGCAAGCUAGAGUGUGUCAGAGGAUGGUGGAAUUCCCGGUGUAGCGGUGAAAUGCGUAGAGAUCGGGAGGAACAUCAGUGGCGAAGGCGGCCAUCUGGGACAACACUGACGCUGAGGCACGAAAGCGUGGGGAGCAAACAGGAUUAGAUACCCCGGUAGUCCCUGUCUCUUAUAC
Molecule: ribosomal RNA, 301 nt
Filed under: uncultured bacterium
Lineage: Bacteria
Description: partial 16S ribosomal RNA
Rfam family: Bacterial small subunit ribosomal RNA
Source: RNAcentral